RNAcentral lists this ribosomal RNA (778 nucleotides) under uncultured Neocallimastigales. RNAcentral's name for it is "partial large subunit ribosomal RNA". It matches the Rfam family "Eukaryotic large subunit ribosomal RNA", at positions 22 to 634 of the family's 3401-position model. The record is from RNAcentral. Lineage: Eukaryota; Fungi; Neocallimastigomycota; Neocallimastigomycetes; Neocallimastigales.
CAUAGCGACUAUCGUGGCAUAUCAAUAAGCGGAGGAAAAGAAACUAACAAGGAUUCCCUUAGUAACGGCGAGUGAAGCGGGAAGAGCUCAAAUUUGAAAUCUUAAAGGUUUCCCUUGACGAAUUGUAGUUUAUAGAAGUGUUUUCUGUUAGUAGAGUUUGGUAAAAGUUCUUUGGAAUAGGACAUCAUAGAGGGUGAGAAUCCCGUAUUUGGACCAUUAUUUCCUAGCUUUGUGAUACACUUUCAAAGAGUCGGAUUGUUUGGGAAUGCAGUCCAAAAUGGGUGGUAAAUUUCAUCUAAAGCUAAAUAUUGGCGAGAGACCGAUAGCGAACAAGUACCGUGAGGGAAAGAUGAAAAGAACUUUGAAAAGAGAGUUAAACAGUACGUGAAAUUGUCAAAAGGGAAGCGUUUGACACCAGUGUUGUUUUCUCGAAAAUCAAUUACGAAUGUUUUAGUUUUUGAGAAGUUAUGACUUCAUCGGCUUGCUUCUCUCUUUAUGAAACUUUCUUAAUGCACUUUUCGGUUAACAAGUCAACAUCAAUUUCUUUUGUCGUAAAAGGGUAUGAGGAAGGUGGCUUUCUUUUCGGAGAAAGUGUUUAUAGCCUUGUACCUCUGCAAUCGGAGAGAUUGAGGUCUGCAGCGUAGAUCCUUCGGGGUUAGAUUCAUUUGUGCUAAGUUAUAGCUUUUCAUAGACAACUUGUUGACUAUGUUUAGUCAUGUAGCUUACUCGCUUAUGUAAUUUUACCUACGCUUAGGAUGUUGAUAGUCACAGCGUGUAC